UCNGAGUGCUUAGGUCCAGCAUCCCUUGG
This 29-nucleotide non-coding RNA is filed under the name Mus musculus (house mouse). The record is from RNAcentral. Lineage: Eukaryota; Metazoa; Chordata; Mammalia; Rodentia; Muridae.